AGUCGCGUAGCUCAGCUGGUUAGAGCACCACCUUGACAUGGUGGGGGUCGGUGAUUCGAAUUCACUCGCGACUACCA
RNAcentral lists this transfer RNA (77 nucleotides) under Gammaproteobacteria bacterium. RNAcentral describes it as "tRNA-Val". It matches the Rfam family "tRNA". From Rfam's summary of the family: Transfer RNA (tRNA) molecules are approximately 80 nucleotides in length. Their secondary structure includes four short double-helical elements and three loops (D, anti-codon, and T loops). Further hydrogen bonds mediate the characteristic L-shaped molecular structure. tRNAs have two regions of fundamental functional importance: the anti-codon, which is responsible for specific mRNA codon recognition, and the 3' end, to which the tRNAs corresponding amino acid is attached (by aminoacyl-tRNA synthetases). tRNAs cope with the degeneracy of the genetic code in two manners: having more than one tRNA (with a specific anti-codon) for a particular amino acid; and 'wobble' base-pairing, i.e. permitting non-standard base-pairing at the 3rd anti-codon position. RNAcentral also lists the same sequence under 2 other names. The record is from RNAcentral. Lineage: Bacteria; Pseudomonadati; Pseudomonadota; Gammaproteobacteria.